UGGGGAAUCUUCCGCACUGGGCGAAAGCCUGACGGAGCAACGCCGCGUGAACGAUGAAGGUCUUAGGAUCGUAAAGUUCUGUUGUUAGGGACGAAGGGCAAGGGUUAUAAUACAGCCUUUGUUUGACGGUACCUAACGAGGAAGCCACGGCUAACUACGUGCCAGCAGCCGCGGUAAUACGUAGGCGGCAAGCGUUGUCCGGAAUUAUUGGGCGUAAAGGGAGCGCAGGCGGGAAACUAAGCGGAUCUUAAAAGUGCGGGGCUCAACCCCGUGAUGGGGUCCGAACUGGUUUUCUUGAGUGCAGGAGAGGAAAGCGGAAUUCCCAGUGUAGAGGUGAAAUGCGUAGAUAUUGGGAAGAACACCAGUGGCGAAGGCGGCUUUCUGGACUGUAACUGACGCUGAGGCUAGAAAGCUAGGGUCGAGAACG
Molecule: ribosomal RNA, 427 nt
Filed under: uncultured bacterium
Lineage: Bacteria
Description: bacterial SSU rRNA
Rfam family: Bacterial small subunit ribosomal RNA
Source: RNAcentral